RNAcentral lists this ribosomal RNA (761 nucleotides) under Sphingobacterium sp. RNAcentral describes it as "bacterial SSU rRNA". It matches the Rfam family "Bacterial small subunit ribosomal RNA", at positions 55 to 813 of the family's 1533-position model. The record is from RNAcentral. Lineage: Bacteria; Pseudomonadati; Bacteroidota; Sphingobacteriia; Sphingobacteriales; Sphingobacteriaceae.
GGAUCCGUCACUUCGCUUGCUCGGAUAGUGUGCAAAGUGGCGCACGGGGGCGUAACGCGUGACCAACCUACCUCUAUCACGGGGAUAGCCUCUCGAAAGAAACAUUAACACCGCAUAAUAUAAAUGAUUGGCAUCGCUUGCCUAUUAAAUAUUUAUAGGAUAGAGAUGGGCUCGCGUGACAUUAGGGGUAACGGUAGGGUAACGGCUUACCAAGGCGCUGAUGUCUAGGGGCUCUCAGACGAGAAUCCCCCACACUGGUACUGAGACUCCUACCAGACUCCUACGGGAGGCAUUUUUAACGAAUAUUGGUCAAUGGGCGGAACCCUGAACCGUGCGUGCCGCGUGCCUGAUGACUGCCCUAUGGGUUGUAAACUGCUUUUGUCCCGGAAUAAACCUCUUUACGAAUAUAGAGCUGACUGUACUGGAAGAAUAAGGAUCGGCUAACUCCGUGCCCGCAGCCGCGGUAAUACUGAGGAUCCUAGCGUUAUUCGGAUUUAUUGGGUUUAGAGGGUGCGUAUGCGGCCUAUUAAUUCAAGGGUGAAAUACUGUGGCUCAGCCAUCGCAUUGCCUUUGAUACUGAUGGGCUUGAAUCCAUUUGAAGUAAUUCGGAAUAGUACAAGUAACGGUGAAAUGCAUAGAUAUGUCUUAGAACUCCGAUUGCGAACGCAUCUCACUACACUGGUAUUGACGCUGAUGCACGAAAGCGUGGAGAUCGAUUCAGAUAUUAUAUACCCUGGUACUCCUACACCAUAUACGAUGAU